ACACAGUCUGAGCUGCAUACUUCCUGUAUACCAGGGGUCUCCAACCACACACAGUCUGAGCUGCAUACUUCCUGUAUACCAGGGGUCUCCAACCACACACAGUCUGAGCUGCAUACUUCCUGUAUACCAGGGGUCUCCAACCACACACAGUCUGAGCUGCAUACUUCCUGUAUACCAGGGGUCUCCAACCACACACAGUCUGAGCUGCAUACUUCCUGUAUACCAGGGGUCUCCAACCACACACAGUCUGAGCUGCAUACUUCCUGUAUACCAGGGGUCUCCAACCACACACAGUCUGAGCUGCAUACUUCCUGUAUACCAGGGGUCUCCAACCACACACGUCUGAGCUGCAUACUUCCUGUAUACCAGGGGUCUCCAACCACACACAUCUGAGCUGCAUACUUCCUGUAUACCAGGGGUCUCCAACCUUCUCUAGUUACUUUUUUUCUUCUAGGUUUUUCAAAUAGGAACAUUCUUCUCUUCUCUCCAUCUCUUUAUCUGGUCCUUAGUGUACAAGAGAAAGUAGAGCAGUGUGUUUUCUGUCAUUUUCGUGUGCAUUCGUAAGCUAUUCAAAGCC
Long non-coding RNA from Oncorhynchus keta (chum salmon), 577 nucleotides. RefSeq lists it as uncharacterized. The transcript has 4 exons. The record is from RefSeq and is a predicted model, not a curated record. Lineage: Eukaryota; Metazoa; Chordata; Actinopteri; Salmoniformes; Salmonidae.